Neltuma alba is the source of this 855-nucleotide long non-coding RNA. RefSeq lists it as uncharacterized. Lineage: Eukaryota; Viridiplantae; Streptophyta; Magnoliopsida; Fabales; Fabaceae. The record is from RefSeq and is a predicted model, not a curated record. The transcript is spliced from 5 exons.
UGCAGGAGAAAUGAGAGAUGAUGUCUUUUCUGGAAACAGAAAGGGGGAAUACUCAGCCUCUGCUGGUGGUCGUAAUAGUUCCUUUCUUGAGAAUGGUUCUCAAAGACAUUUUGUUCGUCGUGGAGCUGCCCAUACAGUGAAGGAUGAUGCUGCAGUCAGCUUAAGUGAAGCAAAACCUUCUAAGAAAGUUGUAAGUGGGCAUGGGGCUCAUGAGAAGCAAGUGUGGAUUCAGAAAUCUUCUUCAGGGUCAUAAAAUAUCUAAAGGUGGUUUGCGUGACUGACAGAUUACGGACCACUACAACAGCAAUAAUUCCUCGAAGUUUUGGGGCGGAUCAUUCCUGCUAUGAGCUAUGGUCUCCGUUAGGGUCCUGCUACGAGCUAUGGUCUCCAUUAGGGAUCGUCCUUAAUGAAUUCAGGUCAACCCCAGGCUGGGCUAUUUCAAAAGAAAGAUGAUCCAGUUGUUGCCUGAUGGAGCCUGCUCAUUGAAAGGAAUGCCAAAUCUAUAUACCUACCUCAACGACACGAUAUUCUGCUGGAAAGAGAGUGGUGUAUCAAUCAUGUCUGUUAGAUGUUUGUACCAUUCGUCUCUUCUAAGUUUUAUUGUGUAUUUCUGUGGUGCAAAAUAUUAUUUGUGCCUGGGAUGUACUGUACAAGUACGUGGAACUUGCCAUGGAUUAGUGUAUUGGGAAGAGUCACAGCAUUUUUCUCCCUUCCAAUAGACGAGUAGGGGUUGAACAAUGAUGUGCAUUAUGGCGUGUUGAUGCUUAUGAUAGGGGAAGCACUUUGGUGUGCCUGUAAUUUCGAAGAUCAGAAAUGAAAUAUCGAUUGGUAGUGUAUCUUAUGGUUGAUUUGCAA